UACGGAGGGAGCUAGCGUUGUUCGGAAUUACUGGGCGUAAAGUGCGCGUAGGCGGCUUUGUAAGUUAGAGGUGAAAGCCCGGGGCUCAACCCCGGAAUUGCCUUUAAGACUGCAUCGCUUGAAUCCGGGAGAGGUGAGUGGAAUUCCGAGUGUAGAGGUGAAAUUCGUAGAUAUUCGGAAGAACACCAGUGGCGAAGGCGGCUCACUGGACCGGCAUUGACGCUGAGGUGCGAAAGCGUGGGGAGCAAACAGG
This 253-nucleotide ribosomal RNA is filed under the name uncultured bacterium. Its description in RNAcentral is "partial 16S ribosomal RNA". It matches the Rfam family "Bacterial small subunit ribosomal RNA", at positions 524 to 776 of the family's 1533-position model. The record is from RNAcentral.